Molecule: ribosomal RNA, 494 nt
Filed under: uncultured bacterium
Lineage: Bacteria
Description: partial 16S ribosomal RNA
Rfam family: Bacterial small subunit ribosomal RNA
Source: RNAcentral
GACGAACGCUGGCGGCGUGCUUAACACAUGCAAGUCGAACGGUGAAGCGCCUUCCUUUUUGGUGGGUGUGGAUGAGUGGCGAACGGGUGAGUAACACGUGAGUAACCUGCCCCCUUCUUCUGGAUAACCGCAUGAAAGUGUGGCUAAUACGGGAUAUUCUGGGUCUGUCGCAUGAUGGGUCUGGGAAAGAUAUUGUUUCGGUGGGGGAUGGGCUCGCGGCCUAUCAGCUUGUUGGUGGGGUGAUGGCCUACCAAGGCGGUGACGGGUAGCCGGCCUGAGAGGGUGGACGGUCACACUGGGACUGGGACCCGGCCCAGACUCCUACGGGAGGCAGCAGUGGGGAAUAUUGCACAAUGGGCGCAAGCCUGAUGCAGCGACGCCGCGUGAGGGAUGGAGGCCUUCGGGUUGUGAACCUCUUUCGCCAGUGAAGCAGGCCUGCCUCGUUUGUGGGUGGGUUGACGGUAGCUGGAUAAGAAGCGCCGGCUAACUACGUG